UCUGGUAAUGAUGGCAGAGAGGUCACACCCGUUCCCAUACCGAACACGGAAGUUAAGCUCUCUAGCGCCGAUGGUAGUUGGGACCUUGUCCCUGUGAGAG
RNAcentral lists this ribosomal RNA (100 nucleotides) under Bacillus anthracis (anthrax bacterium). Lineage: Bacteria; Bacillati; Bacillota; Bacilli; Caryophanales; Bacillaceae. The record is from RNAcentral. RNAcentral also lists the same sequence under 9 other names.